RNAcentral lists this ribosomal RNA (668 nucleotides) under Vibrio sp. HR08-35. RNAcentral describes it as "partial 16S ribosomal RNA". It matches the Rfam family "Bacterial small subunit ribosomal RNA", at positions 61 to 709 of the family's 1533-position model. Lineage: Bacteria; Pseudomonadati; Pseudomonadota; Gammaproteobacteria; Vibrionales; Vibrionaceae. The record is from RNAcentral.
GUCGAGCGGAACGAGUUAUCUGANCCUUCGGGGAACGAUANNGGCGUCGAGCGGCGGACGGGUGAGUAAUGCCUAGGAAAUUGCCUUGAUGUGGGGGAUAACCAUUGGAAACGAUGGCUAAUACCGCAUAAUGCCUACGGGCCAAAGAGGGGGACCUUCGGGCCUCUCGCGUCAAGAUAUGCCUAGGUGGGAUUAGCUAGUUGGUGAGGUAAUGGCUCACCAAGGCGACGAUCCCUAGCUGGUCUGAGAGGAUGAUCAGCCACACUGGAACUGAGACACGGUCCAGACUCCUACGGGAGGCAGCAGUGGGGAAUAUUGCACAAUGGGCGCAAGCCUGAUGCAGCCAUGCCGCGUGUAUGAAGAAGGCCUUCGGGUUGUAAAGUACUUUCAGUCGUGAGGAAGGNUCNUGCGUUAAUAGCGUAUGNNUUUGACGUUAGCGACAGAAGAAGCACCGGCUAACUCCGUGCCAGCAGCCGCGGUAAUACGGAGGGUGCGAGCGUUAAUCGGAAUUACUGGGCGUANAGCGCAUGCAGGUGGUUUGUUAAGUCAGAUGUGAAAGCCCGGGGCUCAACCUCGGAACUGCNUUUGAAACUGGCAAACUAGAGUACUGUAGAGGGGGGUAGANNUUCNGGUGUAGCGGUGAANNGCGUAGAGAUCUGAAGGAAUAC